GACGGGGCCGCACAAGCGGCGAGCAUGCGGAUUAAUUCGAUGCAACGCGAAGAACCUUACCAAGGCUUGACAUACACCGGUAACGCCCAGAGAUCGGGUGCCCCUUUGUGGUCGGUGGACAGGUGGUGCAUGGUUGUCGUCAGCUCGUGUCGUGAGAUGUUGGGUUAAAGUCCCGCAACGAGCGCAACCCUCGUCCUAUGUUGCCAGCGGGUCAUGCCGGGGACUCAUGGGAGACUGCCGGGGUCAACUCGGAGGAAGUGGGGAUGACGUCAAAUCAUCAUGCCCCUUAUGUCUUGGGCUUCACGCAUGCUACAAUGGCCGGUACAAAGGGCUGCGAUACCGCGAGGUGGAGCGAAUCCCAGAAAGCCGGUCUCAGUUCGGAUUGGGGUCUGCAACUCGACCCCAUGAAGUCGGAGUCGCUAGUAAUCGCAGAUCAGCAACGCUGCGGUGAAUACGUUCCCGGGCCUU
This 468-nucleotide ribosomal RNA is filed under the name uncultured Cellulomonas sp. RNAcentral describes it as "bacterial SSU rRNA". It matches the Rfam family "Bacterial small subunit ribosomal RNA", at positions 917 to 1381 of the family's 1533-position model. The record is from RNAcentral. Lineage: Bacteria; Bacillati; Actinomycetota; Actinomycetes; Micrococcales; Cellulomonadaceae.